This 433-nucleotide ribosomal RNA is filed under the name uncultured bacterium. RNAcentral describes it as "partial 16S ribosomal RNA". It matches the Rfam family "Bacterial small subunit ribosomal RNA", at positions 29 to 507 of the family's 1533-position model. The record is from RNAcentral.
AACGAACGCUGGCGGCAUGCCUAACACAUGCAAGUCGAACGAGACCUUCGGGUCUAGUGGCGCACGGGUGCGUAACGCGUGGGAACCUGCCCUUAGGUUCGGAAUAACUCCCCGAAAGGGGUGCUAAUACCGGAUAAUGUCUUCGGACCAAAGAUUUAUCGCCCUUGGAUGGGCCCGCGUUGGAUUAGCUAGUUGGUAGGGUAAAAGCCUACCACGGCGACGAUCCAUAGCUGGUCUGAGAGGAAGAUCAGCCACACUGGGACUGAGACACGGCCCAGACUCCUACGGGAGGCAGCAGUGGGGAAUAUUGGACAAUGGGCGAAAGCCUGAUCCAGCAAUGCCGCGUGAGUGAUGAAGGCCUUAGGGUUGUAAAGCUCUUUUACCCGGGAUGAUAAUGACAGUACCGGGAGAAUAAGCUCCGGCUAACUCCGUG